This is a non-coding RNA of Phrynosoma platyrhinos (Desert horned lizard), 71 nucleotides long. NCBI's taxonomy places the organism in Eukaryota, Metazoa, Chordata, Lepidosauria, Squamata, Phrynosomatidae. The record is from the annotation of a GenBank genome assembly.
GCCAGUGUGACGUAAUGGUUUGAGUGCUGGACUACAACUCUAGAGACUAGGGUUCAAUUCCCCGCUUGGCA